UGUUUAGCAAGAGACAGAAAGAUAGAGGGCAGCACGGGACCAGAGUGCUAGCUGCCCUUCAGGAGAACAUGACUGCUUAACUUGCAGGUCUGAAGAGGUAGCCAAGACCGAGAGAGAAGUGGCAGGCAUGCCCGCAUCCUCUCCCCAACCUCUCCAGAAAGAGAUGCAGCGCCUCUUUCUCAUUGUUUAAGAAGAAAAGGGGGAACUUGGAGACGCAGCCAAUGAAGGAUAAAUGAGCGCUCUGCUAGUUCAAAGGCAACGUGCAGAUUGGACAGAGGAAGCGUGCAGAGCUCAGAAGAACAGGAGAAAACCCAGUGCACAGAUAAGCAAACAAACAUACAAAUCCACGCUGAACGGGGCAGUACUCCCAAGAAGCAGAAUAUGAAGGCCUGAGAGGAAGAAGGCAGACUGAAGAAACGGGCAACGGAAUAAGGAAACGAGAAUGUAGACUGUAGCCCUCGGUCCCGGCUUCAUACUCAGUGUGGUACUUGAGAUGUGGCAACGAGGAAGCCGCCCUAAGUCCUCACCUUGGGGACCUCACACUUGAGCUAGGGAGAUUGACAGCAAAGGAGGAGUGUGUGAAGUACAGAGUGUGCCAGAUGGUGGUAGACACCAUCCCGGAAGAUCAAGCAAAGAGGUAGAUGGGGGUGCUGGGCAGAGAAGGAGUUUCCGUUUGCAAUUCGGUCAUGAGAAAAGCCACGUUGCAAGGGUGAUCAUUGAGCAAAGCCUUGAAGAAUGAGAGGAAGUGAGCCAUGCGGAAUCUGGGGGAAGAGCAUUAUAGCAUCUGAAAGCAGAAAGUGCAAAGGCCCUACGAUGGCGCUGGGAGGGCCUUAACCAUACAAGCCCAAUGCGGAGCUUGAUUCCAUGAAUCGUGUGAUCGUGACCCGAGCUGAAAUCAAGAGUUGGAUGCUUAACUGACCGAGUCACCCAGUUGCCCCUGUGAGAAGUUCUUUUAAUCAUCUGUGUACAAUUGUAGUAAAUGUACAAAUAUGGUCUCAGGCCCCACAAAAUCUGGAUCCACCCUUGCUCUCAGCAAUCCUGUUGAUAAAAAUUAUUCAUCAUUCAAAACCAAGAUCAAAUGUCACUUCCUUUAUAAAUUAUUUCCUGAAUCCCUAAUCAGGUUUGGAGAUAGAGCCACCCUAUAUGUGAAGAAGUCUGGGACUUUCUGCUUUAGGACUUCUGAAGAAGAAACAUGAAGUCAAUACAUAGCGAGGGGCCAGACGGAUUGUGUCGGAAACAAACACUGAGGUGGGAAACUGAAGAACGGAGAUAUUAACACAGUUGGUAACCGAAGAAUCCUGGAUUCAAACCAGGGCAGUCUGACUUCCAAAUCUCUGCUCAUAACCACUAGAUAAUAUUGCUGUAGUCAUAGAUUGGUGAAUUUCACAAAUGGUCUUAAAUUGCUUUGAUCUGAUAUUUCAUGGAGAUAAAACACUCUAUAAAAUUGAUCACAGUAAGAAAAUUAUGGCUAACAUUCUCUUAUUCCUCAUAAAGUCGUUCCGUCUGGAGACAAAAAUGUGGUCCUAAAGUUUGUUUAGAAUUAAUCUGUCAUGUUAUUUGAAAAGAGUGUCUGGUAGCCCAAUAAGCCUAUUGUUUGGAACAGAUAAAGCAUUUUUCUUUUGGGAGACAAGGCAAACUCGAUUUCAUACUUUUCCUAAGGGGAUUGUGCCCACAGAGCUAAUUAGGGUACAUAAUUUUAAAAAAUUGGGUUUACUUGAGAUAAAUUCUUAAGAGAUUCCUUGAUAAGAGACCUUCUCCUGGGGUCAUCUUUUCUAAUAGUGAGUGAUUGAUCAGAUAUUUUAGAGUAGAUGGAGUUCCAGGCUCCCAGCUGGGCCAGUUCCUGGAACCUACGAAACUGAGAGACCAUGUUGGCUGAGUGAAGUGACUUGCCCCGUCAUCGACAGAGACAGGCAUUUCCACGGUCUUUUCACAAAAGUCACGCAAUGUCUCAGAACCUGCACUUAAUUGCUCCUUACAGCUGAGCCCAAAACCUCCCACUGGGGUCUAUUGUAAUUAUUGCACUCCAGGAUGCAAUUUUUUUUUUAACUGAAAGAAUUUAUUGGUUAAAGGAUCUUUUGGCUAUACCAAAUAAAAUCUACAUUGGUUAGGUUUUAGACAAUCAAUAUUUAUGAAGCCAAGACAUACACUGGUAAAUUCUCUUUUCCCAUUUUCCAAGUAAUGGUAUAAUAAAGCUGAUUUAAGCCUAUCUAUGAUCAAGAUUAUAUAGAGAGAAGAAAUUUCUCCCCAAAGACAGGAUGAGUUAAGUACUAUCAAAUCAAGUAGAGUAGAUUAAUUAAAGAGUUGGAAAAUUCUCACUUGACUCAGCCUUCAUAUUUUUGUAAUAAAUAAUAAGAUAAUUUAAAAUGAAAAUUAUUAGAAAUGUAUUAUGCCAUCAAUAAUUUCAUUAUCAAAAGCAUAUUCUCUCUAUGUGCCUUCAACUCCCAGAUGAUUAAACAUGUUUGCAAGUUGCUGGAGGCAGGUAAAGGCAUUCUGAUUGUCCAAGGUGGUCCGGUUCGAGUGAUAUUUUUCAAACCGAAAGAAAAGUUGUCUCAAGUGUUGGUAACCAGAGACUAUGGUAUGGUACCAUAAGGAAGUUGGACCUUUCUUUCCAUUUUUUCUUGGAAUGAAAUUCACUCAUUAUUAUUUCAACAAUAUAUAUUUGAGUCCCUACUGUGUGUGCUAGGCACUUCAUAUAAGACUGUCUGUUUCAAAAGUGCCGUGAGUAGAAGCAAUUAAUAGAUAAUAAUGGUAAGAUAACUAAAAAUGUAAAUUAUUAGAUCAUCUUUCUGAUAUCAAUAAUUGAUUUACAUAAUGCACUUUAUUUCCUGUCUUCAGUCAUAAAGAGAAUAAAACAUAUUUGGCUA
Long non-coding RNA from Felis catus (domestic cat), 2864 nucleotides. RefSeq lists it as uncharacterized. Lineage: Eukaryota; Metazoa; Chordata; Mammalia; Carnivora; Felidae. The record is from RefSeq and is a predicted model, not a curated record. The transcript is spliced from 7 exons.